This 440-nucleotide ribosomal RNA is filed under the name uncultured bacterium. RNAcentral's name for it is "partial 16S ribosomal RNA". It matches the Rfam family "Bacterial small subunit ribosomal RNA", at positions 338 to 795 of the family's 1533-position model. The record is from RNAcentral.
CCUACGGGCGGCAGCAGUGGGGGAUAUUGCACAAUGGGGGAAACCCUGAUGCAGCGACGCCGCGUGUGGGAAGACGGUCCUCUGGAUUGUAAACCACUGUCCCCAGGGACGAAGAUGCCGGUACCUGGGGAGGAAGCUCCGGCUAACUACGUGCCAGCAGCCGCGGGAAUACGUAGGGAGCGAGCGUUGUCCGGAAUUACGGGGUGAAAAGGGAGCGUAGGCGGGGAUGCAAAUUGGGUGUCAAAACUACCGGCUCAACUGGUAGUCGCACUCAAAACUGCAGCUCUUGAGUGAAGUAGAGGCAGGCGGAAUUCCUAGUGUAGCGGUGAAAUGCGUAGAUAUUAGGAGGAACACCAGUGGCGAAGGCGGCCUGCUGGGCUUUUACUGACGCUGAGGCUCGAAAGUGUGGGGAGCAAACAGGAUUAGAUACCCUUGUAGUC